GGCUCAGGACGAACGCUGGCGGCGUGCUUAACACAUGCAAGUCGAACGAUGAAGGAAGAAGCUUGCUUCUUCUGGAUUAGUGGCGAACGGGUGAGUAACACGUGAGCAAUCUGCCCUUGACUCUGGGAUAAGCGUUGGAAACGACGUCUAAUACCGGAUACGACCCUCGGAGGCAUCUCCUGGGGGUGGAAAGAAUCUUGGUCAAGGAUGAGCUCGCGGCCUAUCAGCUAGUUGGUGAGGUAAUGGCUCACCAAGGCGACGACGGGUAGCCGGCCUGAGAGGGUGACCGGCCACACUGGGACUGAGACACGGCCCAGACUCCUACGGGAGGCAGCAGUGGGGAAUAUUGCACAAUGGGCGAAAGCCUGAUGCAGCAACGCCGCGUGAGGGAUGACGGCCUUCGGGUUGUAAACCUCUUUUAGUAGGGAAGAAGCGAAAGUGACGGUACCUGCAGAAAAAGCACCGGCUAACUACGUGCCAGCAGCCGCGGUAAUACGUAGGGUGCAAGCGUUGUCCGGAAUUAUUGGGCGUAAAGAGCUCGUAGGCGGUUUGUCGCGUCUGCUGUGAAAUCUGGGGGCUCAACCCCCAGCCUGCAGUGGGUACGGGCAGACUAGAGUGCGGUAGGGGAGAUUGGAAUUCCUGGUGUAGCGGUGGAAUGCGCAGAUAUCAGGAGGAACACCGAUGGCGAAGGCAGAUCUCUGGGCCGUAACUGACGCUGAGGAGCGAAAGCAUGGGGAGCGAACAGGAUUAGAUACCCUGGUAGUCCAUGCCGUAAACGUUGGGAACUAGAUGUGGGGACCAUUCCACGGUCUCCG
RNAcentral lists this ribosomal RNA (815 nucleotides) under Leifsonia sp. Its description in RNAcentral is "bacterial SSU rRNA". It matches the Rfam family "Bacterial small subunit ribosomal RNA", at positions 21 to 843 of the family's 1533-position model. The record is from RNAcentral. Lineage: Bacteria; Bacillati; Actinomycetota; Actinomycetes; Micrococcales; Microbacteriaceae.